RNAcentral lists this ribosomal RNA (388 nucleotides) under uncultured bacterium. RNAcentral's name for it is "bacterial SSU rRNA". It matches the Rfam family "Bacterial small subunit ribosomal RNA", at positions 28 to 417 of the family's 1533-position model. The record is from RNAcentral.
GACGAACGCUGGCGGCGUGCUUAACACAUGCAAGUCGAGCGGUAAGGCCCUUUCGGGGGUACACGAGCGGCGAACGGGUGAGUAACACGUGGGUGACCUGCCCUCAGCUCUGGGAUAAGCCUGGGAAACCGGGUCUAAUACCGGAUAUGACUCCAUGACGCAUGUUGUGGGGUGGAAAGCCUUGUGCGGCUGAGGAUGGGCCCGCGGCCUAUCAGCUUGUUGGUGGGGUGAUGGCCUACCAAGGCGACGACGGGUAGCCGGCCUGAGAGGGCGACCGGCCACACUGGGACUGAGACACGGCCCAGACUCCUACGGGAGGCAGCAGUGGGGAAUCUUGCGCAAUGGGCGAAAGCCUGACGGAGCGACGCCGCGUGCAGGAUGAAGGCCU